This is a small nucleolar RNA of Bombyx mandarina (wild silkworm), 78 nucleotides long. NCBI's taxonomy places the organism in Eukaryota, Metazoa, Arthropoda, Insecta, Lepidoptera, Bombycidae. The record is from RefSeq and is a predicted model, not a curated record.
GAUUAUAAUGAUGAAAUAAUAUUAAUAACACCAUCUUUCGUCUGAAUGACUUUGAUGCUAUCUACUAUUCUGAUAUUC